CCGCCGGCGACCGGCGCACGGGUGAGUAACACGUAUGCAACCUGGCCGUGACAGAUGGAUAACCGGGAGAAAUCCCGCCUAAUACAACAUAAUGCCGGGAGGGGGACAUCCCCUGCCGGUCAAAGGGGGCGACCCCGGUCAUGGAUGGGCAUGCGGCGCAUUAGGUAGUUGGUGGGGCAACGGCCCACCAAGCCGACGAUGCGUAGGGGUUCUGAGAGGAAGGUCCCCCACAUUGGAACUGAGACACGGUCCAAACUCCUACGGAAGGCAGCAG
Molecule: ribosomal RNA, 274 nt
Filed under: uncultured bacterium
Lineage: Bacteria
Description: partial 16S ribosomal RNA
Rfam family: Bacterial small subunit ribosomal RNA
Source: RNAcentral